AGCGAACGUUAGCGGCAGGCCUAAUACAUGCAAGUCGAACGGCAGCACAGCAGAGCUUGCUCUGUGGGUGGCGAGUGGCGGACGGGUGAGGAAUACAUGGGAAUCUGCCCAGUCGUGGGGGAUAACGUAUGGAAACGUACGCUAAUACCGCAUGCGCCCUACGGGGGAAAGUCGGGGACCGCAAGGCCUGGCGCGAUUGGAUGAGCCCAUGUUCGAUUAGCUAGUUGGCGGGGUAAAGGCCCACCAAGGCGACGAUCGAUAGCUGGUCUGAGAGGAUGAUCAGCCACACUGGAACUGAGACACGGUCCAGACUCCUACGGGAGGCAGCAGUAGGGAAUAUUGGACAAUGGGGGCAACCCUGAUCCAGCCAUGCCGCGUGAGUGAAGAAGGCCCUCGGGUUGUAAAGCUCUUUUGUCCGGAAAGAAAAGCAAUCGGUUAAUACCCGGUUGUUCUGACGGUACCGGAAGAAUAAGCACCGGCUAACUUCGUGCCAGCAG
RNAcentral lists this ribosomal RNA (497 nucleotides) under uncultured bacterium. RNAcentral describes it as "bacterial SSU rRNA". It matches the Rfam family "Bacterial small subunit ribosomal RNA", at positions 29 to 514 of the family's 1533-position model. The record is from RNAcentral.